UACGUAGGGUGCGAGCGUUAAUCGGAAUUACUGGGCGUAAAGCGUGCGCAGGCGGUUCGUUGUGUCGGCGGUGAAAGCCCCGGGCUUAACCUGGGAAUGGCCGUUGAAACUGGCGAACUGGAGUGUGGCAGAGGGGGGUGGGAUUCCGCGUGUAGCAGUGAAAUGCGUAGAGAUCGGGAGGAACAUCUGUGGCGAAGGCGGCCAUCUGGACCAGCACUGACACUGAGGCACGAAAGCGUGGGGAGCAAACAGG
This 253-nucleotide ribosomal RNA is filed under the name uncultured bacterium. RNAcentral describes it as "partial 16S ribosomal RNA". It matches the Rfam family "Bacterial small subunit ribosomal RNA", at positions 524 to 776 of the family's 1533-position model. The record is from RNAcentral.